GGAAGGAUCAUUAUCAUAAAUACACAUAAACCACCUUUUUGUUUGAUUUAUACUUUAUUGUAUAUUCAAAUAAAAAGGUUGGUACACCAAUGUGAAUUCUAUAAAGUCUCUAACCUUAUUUUUUUCACAAAAAAACACCCCUUUUUUCCAAUACAAUUAAUUUUGUAUUUAGUCUGAUUUUUUUUUUUUGUUUCCUUCGAGAGUAGAGUGGAGUGAUGAUCCUUUGUCUGAGAAUAGUCUUAGGGCUUUCUUUAGACUUGUUUCUCUCUCUCACAGCUUAAGAAGGACUCAAGAGAAAACAACAAAAAAAACCAAAUACAAUCUUUAACGAUGGAUAUCUCGGCUCGUGUAACGAUGAAGAGCGCAGCAAAAUGCGAUAACUAGUGUGAAUUGCAGAAUUCUGUGAAUCAUCGAACUCUUGAACGCAUCCUGCGCCUGGGGGCUAUCCUCCAGGCACAUCUGUUUGAGUGUCAUUUUAUUCUCUAUUCUUUUCAAAGACAUGUUCUUUCGAAAAGAGACUUUGAUAGUGAAAAGAGAGUUGAUCAGUCACCCCCUUUCUCUAUUUAAAUGCAUUGACUAGUCAUUCUAUCUCACAGUUAAUGACUUCAACAACUUAGGUUCAAGGGUCUUUUUUUGACUCAAAGUCCUUAGUUGCAUUUUCUGUUUUUGAGAUGUUUGAUACUUAGUUUCAAAAGGAAUACACAAGUGAUAAGAAAAAAAGGUUCAUCCCUUUCUCUCAUUCACACUCAAUCUACACAUGACCUCAAAUCAGAUGGGAUUACCCCCUGAAUUUAAGCAUAUCAAUAAGGGGAGGAAAAGAAAGUAACCACGAUUCCCUCAGUAAAGGCGAUUGAACAGGGAAAAGCUCAAUCCGAAUCUAGCUGGUUUCCAGCUUGAAUUGUAGUUUUGUGAGUGUCUAUAUGGGAUGGCCUUGGUUUAAGUUACCUGGAACGGUACGCCAUAGAGGGUGACAGCCCCGUUUAUAACCAAGGAAUCUUCUCUAUCCAUAGAUACUUCAUAGAGUCGGACUAUUUGAUAGUAUAGUCCUAAGCGUGAGGUAAGUUCCUCAUAAAGCUAAAUAUGGACGCGAGACCGAUAGCGAACAAGUACCGUGAGGGAAAGAUGCAAAGAACUUUGAAAAGAGAGUUAAAAGUACUUGAAAUCUUUGGAGAGGAAGCAGUUGGAACCAGUGAUUGAUCAAGAUCGAUUCGCGAUCAAAAAGGUGAUCCAAUGUGUUGAAAGAGGUUUCUUUUGGGAUCCUUUCAAUAUGAAAGAUCAUUUUGGUGGUUGUUAUUUCGAUUUUGACGGAUCAGCAUCUAUGGGCUUUGGAAUGGAAUGGAUUGAAGAAGGUAACUUGGGGUUCUCUUCAAGUGAAUACUUUGAUCAAAAUAUUCUGAGGAUCCUAUAGAGGUCACAAGGUGGCGCUUGCGAGGUAAGUGGAUUCCUAAUGUGUUUCAAUGUGGGAGACUGCUUGCAGUGUCUUGUAUUGUUAAUAUAUUACCGAGUCUACUCCAUUUGCCACCUCAUGAUGCUGGUGAAAUGGUUCCUACUGACCCGUCUUGAAACACGGACCAAGGAGUCUAACAUAUGUGCGAGUCACUGAGUGAAAAACUUAGGGGCGUAAUGAAAGUGAAUAAAGGUGCCAUUCUAAAGUGAAAAUUCUUUGGAUGCAGCAUCGACCGAUCCAAUUCCCCUCUGUGGGAAUAGAUUUGAGUAGGAGCAUAUCUGUUGGGACCCGAAAGAUGGUGAACUAUGCCUGCAUAGGGUGAGGCCAGAAGAAAUUCUGGUGGAGGCUCGUAGCGAUACUGACGUGCAAAUCGUUCGUCAAAUGUGGGUAUAGCGGCGAAAGACUAAUCGAACCGUCUAGUAGCUGGUUUCCUC
RNAcentral lists this unclassified non-coding RNA (1881 nucleotides) under uncultured fungus. RNAcentral describes it as "sequence contains 18S rRNA gene, ITS1, 5.8S rRNA gene, ITS2, 28S rRNA gene". The stretch from base 759 to 1881 matches the Rfam family "Eukaryotic large subunit ribosomal RNA", at positions 1 to 961 of the family's 3401-position model. The record is from RNAcentral. Lineage: Eukaryota; Fungi.